RNAcentral lists this unclassified non-coding RNA (416 nucleotides) under fungal sp. Its description in RNAcentral is "partial internal transcribed spacer region". The stretch from base 1 to 46 matches the Rfam family "Eukaryotic small subunit ribosomal RNA", at positions 1786 to 1831 of the family's 1831-position model. Lineage: Eukaryota; Fungi. The record is from RNAcentral.
AAGUCGUAACAAGGUUUCCGUAGGUGAACCUGCGGAAGGAUCAUUAACACGUAUCCAAACGUUAAACCCCCCCCGUGAACCUUCAUCGUGCUCUAGUGGGCCACUGAUAAACACAGCAAUUCCUGGUAAAUCAUUGUCUGAACAAGCCUUUGAGUCAGGAACCUCUGUGCAGUGCGAGCUACACCCACUAUAGAAGCGCUAGUUCCAUCGGCAUUGUUUCCCCAAGCAGCCAGUGCGUGAAAGUGGCAACUGACUGUGCAAGGAUAACGCUUAACGAUUUUGCAGCCGCAACACGCGGGCAGAGCUUUGCCAAAGGGUCCCCAUGCCCCCUAAUAACCCCACAGUUUAAUGUGAAGCUCAAUGUAAUACAUUGGGUAAAAAAACCGAACAACUGUUAACAAUGGAUAUCUGUUCCC